RNAcentral lists this unclassified non-coding RNA (421 nucleotides) under soil metagenome. RNAcentral's name for it is "partial contains 5.8S ribosomal RNA, internal transcribed spacer 2, and large subunit ribosomal RNA". The stretch from base 1 to 120 matches the Rfam family "5.8S ribosomal RNA", at positions 35 to 154 of the family's 154-position model. The record is from RNAcentral.
GAUGAAGAACGUAGCGAAAUGCGAUACGUAAUGUGAAUUGCAGAAUUCAGUGAAUCAUCGAAUCUUUGAACGCAUAUUGCGCUCUUUGGUAUUCCGAAGAGCAUGCUUGUUUGAGUAUCAGUAAACACCUCAACCUCUUCUUGAUUUUUCAAAAGGAGGGUGGACUCGAGCUAUCCCAACAACCUUUACCGGUCGGCGGGCGGCUUGAAAUGCAGGUGCAGCUGGACUUUUAUCUGAGCUAAAAGCAUAUCUAUUUAGUCCUCGUCAAACAGGAUUAUUACUUUUGCUGCAGCUAACAUAAAGGAUAAUUGUCCUCUUUGCUGACUGAUGCAGGAUUUUACGACACUUUAUGUGUUGUUCAACUCGAUCUCAAAUCAAGUAAGACUACCCGCUGAACUUAAGCAUAUCAAUAAGCGGAGGA